This 497-nucleotide ribosomal RNA is filed under the name uncultured bacterium. RNAcentral describes it as "partial 16S ribosomal RNA". It matches the Rfam family "Bacterial small subunit ribosomal RNA", at positions 28 to 507 of the family's 1533-position model. The record is from RNAcentral.
GAUGAACGCUGGCGGCGUGCCUAAUACAUGCAAGUCGAGCGAACAGAUGAGGAGCUUGCUCCUCUGACGUUAGCGGCGGACGGGUGAGUAACACGUGGAUAACCUACCUAUAAGACUGGGAUAACUUCGGGAAACCGGAGCUAAUACCGGAUAAUAUAUUGAACCGCAUGGUUCAAUAGUGAAAGACGGUUUUGCUGUCACUUAUAGAUGGAUCCGCGCCGCAUUAGCUAGUUGGUAAGGUAACGGCUUACCAAGGCAACGAUGCGUAGCCGACCUGAGAGGGUGAUCGGCCACCCUGGAACUGAGACACGGUCCAGACUCCUAAGGGAGGCAGCAGUAGGGAAUCUUACGCAAUGGGCGAAAGCCUGACGGAGCAACGCCGCGUGAGUGAUGAAGGUCUUCGGAUCGUAAAACUCUGUUAUUAGGGAAGAACAAAUGUGUAAGUAACUAUGCACGUCUUGACGGUACCUAAUCAGAAAGCCACGGCUAACUACGUG